This 491-nucleotide ribosomal RNA is filed under the name uncultured bacterium. RNAcentral's name for it is "partial 16S ribosomal RNA". It matches the Rfam family "Bacterial small subunit ribosomal RNA", at positions 29 to 506 of the family's 1533-position model. The record is from RNAcentral.
AGUGAACGCUGGCGGUAGGCCUAACACAUGCAAGUCGAACGGCAGCACAGUAAGAGCUUGCUCUUACGGGUGGCGAGUGGCGGACGGGUGAGGAAUACAUCGGAAUCUACUUUUUCGUGGGGGAUAACGUAGGGAAACUUACGCUAAUACCGCAUACGACCUACGGGUGAAAGCAGGGGAUCUUCGGACCUUGCGCGAUUGAAUGAGCCGAUGUCGGAUUAGCUAGUUGGCGGGGUAAAGGCCCACCAAGGCGACGAUCCGUAGCUGGUCUGAGAGGAUGAUCAGCCACAAUGGAACUGAGAACCGGUCCAGACUCCUAAGGGAGGCAGCAGUGGGGAAAUUUGGAAAAUGGGCGCAAGCCUGAUCCAGCCAUACCGGGUGGGUGAAGAAGGCCUUCGGGUUGUAAAGCCCUUUUGUUGGGAAAGAAAAGAAGCAGGUUAAUACCCCGCUGUUCUGACGGUACCCAAAGAAUAAGCACCGGCUAACUUCGU